Long non-coding RNA from Papilio polytes (common Mormon), 268 nucleotides. RefSeq lists it as uncharacterized. Lineage: Eukaryota; Metazoa; Arthropoda; Insecta; Lepidoptera; Papilionidae. The record is from RefSeq and is a predicted model, not a curated record. The transcript has 3 exons.
GGGGAGCGCGAGCUGCGUCUGCGCUACCACCACGACAUCUACGCCAUGCUGGACAAGAUGCUCAGCACAGAACAGCGACAUCAGAUGAAGGAACUCACGGUGACGCUAGAAGCUGAGAAGAAGGAAAUAUUAAAUAAACUUGCCAAUUCCAGAAAGGAAGACGUUAAAGCCCUCGCUAAAAAGACUAAUCGGGACAAAGAUGAAAUACUCAGGAUUAAAAGAGAGAUACAUUCACAGUCUGUGGAGCGCGGCGUGGCGGAGUGCUCGC